AUUUUCUUCAAACAAACACCACCUUACCAAAUUCUACACAAACUAGGAUUUCUUCAUAUUUAUAGUUUUGCCACCUUACAAAUAUCUUCCUCUCACCAAAUUUACAAAUUCACUAUUCUCUUUUCUCAUUUCUUUUUCUUUUCACAACCAAGCACCACCAAAACUCUUAUCAUAGCAUUGGCACCCACCACUGAACCCUAACCAACCGUUACCCAUCGCCACCACCGAUCACAAACCUCCAGUGGUCCUAUUUUGUGCAAUUGUCUUGAAGAAAGAAGCUUGGGAUGGAAAUUGAGAGAGUUGUGUAUGACAGUUUUGUAAAUAUAACUAAGACAGUUAGUAUAAAUCCAAGAUUUGCAAUUCCUAAUGAAAGAUAAUUGAGGAGAGUGAGGCUUUCUUCCAAAACCUCUAGCAGUAGAGGAUCAAGAAAGAUUGUGUUUAAAGGAGAUGGGUAUAAGGUCACUUAUCCUACUAACCUACCUUUUAAGGCUUUAGGGUUGUAGUGGCAAGGCCAACCAUGUAUAGCCACAAGACAGCUUGAAGAAGGAAGAGAACACAUGAUAGAAAGGAUUCAAUAGAGAUCCAAGUUUGAUGCAGUCAUUUUUAAUUGAGAUUGUGAAAUGAGUGGUAAGGGUAUGUAAUGGCUCUAGUUCAUUUUUGGGCGUAGUUAGUUCAUAUAGGAACUUCAUAGUACUUAUUUUUGUGACUCUAGUUCCUUAUGAACUAAAUGAUUGAUUUUUGUGUUAUAGGCAGCAAAUUUAGGACAUGUUAAUUUUGUAUUUAUUUUGAUAAACUCGUUGUCUAAGCUCAAGUGUGAGCAUACAUGGUCACUAGUAGUAAUUCCAACAAGUGACCAUGUUUGAUUUUGUGACUUUCGUAUCAUUAAUAGGUUAGUAAGAUAAUGAAUGAAAUCCAUUUUCCUUUCAAGGAAUAUAAA
Molecule: long non-coding RNA, 937 nt
Organism: Ricinus communis (castor bean)
Lineage: Eukaryota; Viridiplantae; Streptophyta; Magnoliopsida; Malpighiales; Euphorbiaceae
Exons: 2
Source: RefSeq, a predicted model, not a curated record